AACGAACGCUGGCGGCAUGCCUAACACAUGCAAGUCGAACGAAGUCUUCGGACUUAGUGGCGCACGGGUGCGUAACGCGUGGGAAUCUGCCCUUGGGUGCGGAAUAACUUCUCGAAAGGGAUGCUAAUACCGCAUAAUGUCGUAAGACCAAAGAUUUAUCACCCAAGGAUGAGCCCGCGUAAGAUUAGCUAGUUGGUGGGUAAAAGCCUACCAAGGCGACGAUCUUUAGCUGGUCUGAGAGGAUGAUCAGCCACACUGGGACUGAGACACGGCCCAGACUCCUACGGGAGGCAGCAGUGGGGGAAUAUUGGACAAUGGGCGCAAGCCUGAUCCAGCAACGCCGCGUGAAUGAUGAAGGCCUUCGGGUCGUAAGUUCUUUGUAAGGGGAGGAAAAUAGACGGUACCUUAAGAAUAAGACUCCGGCUAACUUCGUGCCAGCAGCCGCGGUAAU
Molecule: ribosomal RNA, 451 nt
Filed under: uncultured bacterium
Lineage: Bacteria
Description: bacterial SSU rRNA
Rfam family: Bacterial small subunit ribosomal RNA
Source: RNAcentral